GAUGUCUCUGUGCUCACCGUGCUAGUCCCUAGAUCGACUAGCUAGCACACACAGUACAUAUGAAUAUCAAAUAACAAGUGCAUCAUUUACAACAACGUAUGAUCCAAAAUUCAUAAAGUAUUACAAACUGAGUAGCACAUAGCUAACUUUAUUCAAUAAUAACAGCGGAAAUGUAGCAUAAUUAAACAGUGAGUCCCAUCAAUGCCCACUGGCGAAAAUGCUGAGUGAAGACUCGUGACCCUACUGUAUCUCACUGAUCAUCUGAAAAUCCCGCAACAUGAUAAGUUGCAGCCACAAGGGUCAAUACAUUCAAUGUAUUAGAAAAUCACACAUAAUGAUAUAGCACAACCUACAUCCACAAGUAAAGUAUGACAAAGAAAACACUCAAGUUGGUUUGCAGAAGAAUGUCUCCACCUACCUCCACUACAUUGGCAAGGUGCACACAAACAUGGAUGACAAAGAUCUUCAAGAUGUCUCAAGUGCGCUCAGUCGUGGGGCAUUCUCUAGGGACAAUAGAGCGCUCAGUCAUCAACGCAUUCACCUGAUUUAAGCCCCCAAACCUCAAGUGCGCUCAGCCAUGGCGCAUUCUCUAGGGACAAUAGAGCGCUCAGCCAUUGACGCAUUCACCUGAGAAAAAGUCCCGAGCCUAUAGCUAUGAAGACUCACCACUUCCAUGCAUCACUCGACACAUACCCACGUCUACCAUCGCUAGCUACCCACACCAUCACAUAACACAAUCAAUACCAAAACAUGACAACACAGAACAUAACGAUCAACCAAACAUAUAACAUAUCACAACAACCACACAUGCAUAGCAGAAAUAUAGGAUGAGCAUAAUCAAAAGUGCAAACUUGCCUUGAGCAGUGUUGAAGUACUCUAAUGCUUAAUUCUGAUUUGCUUCACACUCCGGACAAUAAAAGCCAACAACAAAGAAUCCAAAUAAGAACUAACAUAACAGAACAUAUCAGUUGGUAUAUCUUAUCUACAUGCUAGAGGUAUCACAAUGCAAAACGAAUCAACUAAUUGGGAUCAACGGUUUGAAAGAUAUGGCCUCCAGAAGGUUAAAUUCAAAUUUAAGCAAAUUCAAAUUUAAACAGUUCAAAAAUGUGAAAUUUUGGUUCUACAAUAUUCUACUGGUCACUACAAGUACACAGAAAAAAGAAUCGUUGAAUUUGGUGUUACGGAUCUCAAGAUAUACCUAAACGAAAAUAUGAUAUGAAAUCUGCCCAAAAAGAAUUGUGCCAUAACAGCGUUCCUGGAAGAACUGCCAGACUUAAGCGACGGACGGACGGUUUAUAACACAAAAUGUUUCAACGAAAAAAACAGCAGGGAGACGUGCUCACCGGAGAAACAAGGGCAGGGCAGCCGGACUUGGACAAAACGGCGGCGCGGCGGCUCGGGCGGCGACGGUGGCGCCUGCUCCGGUGGUAUCCAGACUCCGGAGGGUAGCGUACGGGGCGAGGAGCUUUGCUGUGGUCUCGAAGACGUCCUCAGCGGCGUCUGUGGCGAGCGAGGACGACAGCAGAGGGUGGCUGGAAUCGACUGCGGUAGAAGCUUCGGGCGGAUGUACUCCGGCAAGAUCGGGAUCCUCUGGAACAGGCGAGAUAGUGCAUGGGGACCUACAAAAAGGUGAAAAUCGAAAGAGGAGGAGCUGGAUAUCUUAUAUAGGGCAUCAAUUCACGCAUGGAGUCCAGGGAUCAAUUGAAUUGGCCGAUCUGAUUGUGGCUGGGUUCGGCAGCUAAUGUGUUCGGGAAAAACACGCUGGGCAAGGUGAUGACAUGCGGGCCUGGCGGUCAGCGGUAGAGAGCAGAGAACGAAAAAAACAAAAG
Molecule: long non-coding RNA, 1829 nt
Filed under: Triticum aestivum (bread wheat)
Lineage: Eukaryota; Viridiplantae; Streptophyta; Magnoliopsida; Poales; Poaceae
Description: long non-coding RNA (TAES_LNC005351)
Source: RNAcentral